GCGGGCGUGGUGGAAUUGGUAGACACGCGAGGUUUAGGUCCUCGUGGCGCAAGCCGUGGGGGUUCGAGUCCCUCCGCCCGCACCA
Molecule: transfer RNA, 85 nt
Filed under: Hyphomicrobiales bacterium
Lineage: Bacteria; Pseudomonadati; Pseudomonadota; Alphaproteobacteria; Hyphomicrobiales
Also listed under: 1 other name
Description: tRNA-Leu
Rfam family: tRNA
About the family: Transfer RNA (tRNA) molecules are approximately 80 nucleotides in length. Their secondary structure includes four short double-helical elements and three loops (D, anti-codon, and T loops).
Source: RNAcentral